UUAAGCGACUAAGCGUACACGGUGGAUGCCCUGGCAGUCAGAGGCGAUGAAGGACGUGCUAAUCUGCGAAAAGCGUCGGUAAGGUGAUAUGAACCGUUAUAACCGGCGAUGUCCGAAUGGGGAAACCCAGUGUGAUUCGUCACACUAUCGUUAACUGAAUACAUAGGUUAACGAGGCGAACCGGGGGAACUGAAACAUCUAAGUACCCCGAGGAAAAGAAAUCAACCGAGAUUCCCCCAGUAGCGGCGAGCGAACGGGGAGCAGCCCAGAGUCUGAAUCAGCUUGUGUGUUAGUGGAACGGUCUGGAAAGUCCGACGGUACAGGGUGAUAGUCCCGUACACCAAAAUGCACAGGCUGUGAACUCGAAGAGUAGGGCGGGACACGUGGUAUCCUGUCUGAAUAUGGGGGGACCAUCCUCCAAGGCUAAAUACUCCUGACUGACCGAUAGUGAACCAGUACCGUGAGGGAAAGGCGAAAAGAACCCCGGCGAGGGGAGUGAAAAAGAACCUGAAACCGUGUACGUACAAGCAGUGGGAGCACCUUCGGGUGUGACUGCGUACCUUUUGUAUAAUGGGUCAGCGACUUAUAUUCUGUAGCAAGGUUAACCGUAUAGGGGAGCCGCAGGGAAACCGAGUCUUAACUGGGCGUUAAGUUGCAGGGUAUAGACCCGAAACCCGGUGAUCUAGCCAUGGGCAGGUUGAAGGUUGGGUAACACUAACUGGAGGACCGAACCGACUAAUGUUGAAAAAUUAGCGGAUGACUUGUGGCUGGGGGUGAAAGGCCAAUCAAACCGGGAGAUAGCUGGUUCUCCCCGAAAGCUAUUUAGGUAGCGCCUCGUGAACUCAUCUUCGGGGGUAGAGCACUGUUUCGGCUAGGGGGUCAUCCCGACUUACCAACCCGAUGCAAACUACGAAUACCGAAGAAUGUUAUCACGGGAGACACACGGCGGGUGCUAACGUCCGUCGUGAAGAGGGAAACAACCCAGACCGCCAGCUAAGGUCCCAAAGUCAUGGUUAAGUGGGAAACGAUGUGGGAAGGCACAGACAGCCAGGAUGUUGGCUUAGAAGCAGCCAUCAUUUAAAGAAAGCGUAAUAGCUCACUGGUCGAGUCGGCCUGCGCGGAAGAUGUAACGGGGCUAAACCAUGCACCGAAGCUGCGGCAGCGACACUAUGUGUUGUUGGGUAGGGGAGCGUUCUGUAAGCCUGCGAAGGUGUGCUGUGAGGCAUGCUGGAGGUAUCAGAAGUGCGAAUGCUGACAUAAGUAACGAUAAAGCGGGUGAAAAGCCCGCUCGCCGGAAGACCAAGGGUUCCUGUCCAACGUUAAUCGGGGCAGGGUGAGUCGACCCCUAAGGCGAGGCCGAAAGGCGUAGUCGAUGGGAAACAGGUUAAUAUUCCUGUACUUGGUGUUACUGCGAAGGGGGGACGGAGAAGGCUAUGUUAGCCGGGCGACGGUUGUCCCGGUUUAAGCAUGUAGGCUGAUUGUCCAGGCAAAUCCGGAUAAUCAAGGCUGAGGUGUGAUGACGAGGCACUACGGUGCUGAAGUAACAAAUGCCCUGCUUCCAGGAAAAGCCUCUAAGCAUCAGGUAACAUCAAAUCGUACCCCAAACCGACACAGGUGGUCAGGUAGAGAAUACCAAGGCGCUUGAGAGAACUCGGGUGAAGGAACUAGGCAAAAUGGUGCCGUAACUUCGGGAGAAGGCACGCUGGUGUGUAGGUGAAGCCCCUGCGGGUGGAGCUGAGACCAGUCGAAGAUACCAGCUGGCUGCAACUGUUUAUUAAAAACACAGCACUGUGCAAACACGAAAGUGGACGUAUACGGUGUGACGCCUGCCCGGUGCCGGAAGGUUAAUUGAUGGGGUUAUCCGUAAGGAGAAGCUCUUGAUCGAAGCCCCGGUAAACGGCGGCCGUAACUAUAACGGUCCUAAGGUAGCGAAAUUCCUUGUCGGGUAAGUUCCGACCUGCACGAAUGGCGUAAUGAUGGCCAGGCUGUCUCCACCCGAGACUCAGUGAAAUUGAACUCGCUGUGAAGAUGCAGUGUACCCGCGGCAAGACGGAAAGACCCCGUGAACCUUUACUAUAGCUUGACACUGAACAUUGAGCCUUGAUGUGUAGGAUAGGUGGGAGGCUUUGAAGCGUGGACGCCAGUCUGCGUGGAGCCAACCUUGAAAUACCACCCUUUAAUGUUUGAUGUUCUAACGUUGGCCCCUGACCGGGGUUGCGGACAGUGUCUGGUGGGUAGUUUGACUGGGGCGGUCUCCUCCCAAAGCGUAACGGAGGAGCACGAAGGUUAGCUAAUCCUGGUCGGACAUCAGGAGGUUAGUGCAAUGGCAUAAGCUAGCUUGACUGCGAGCGUGACGGCGCGAGCAGGUGCGAAAGCAGGUCAUAGUGAUCCGGUGGUUCUGAAUGGAAGGGCCAUCGCUCAACGGAUAAAAGGUACUCCGGGGAUAACAGGCUGAUACCGCCCAAGAGUUCAUAUCGACGGCGGUGUUUGGCACCUCGAUGUCGGCUCAUCACAUCCUGGGGCUGAAGUAGGUCCCAAGGGUAUGGCUGUUCGCCAUUUAAAGUGGUACGCGAGCUGGGUUUAGAACGUCGUGAGACAGUUCGGUCCCUAUCUGCCGUGGGCGCUGGAGAAUUGAGGGGGGCUGCUCCUAGUACGAGAGGACCGGAGUGGACGCAUCACUGGUGUUCGGGUUGUCAUGCCAAUGGCACUGCCCGGUAGCUAAAUGCGGAAGAGAUAAGUGCUGAAAGCAUCUAAGCACGAAACUUGCCCCGAGAUGAGUUCUCCCUGAGACUUUAAGUCUCCUGAAGGAACGUUAAAGACGAUGACGUUGAUAGGCCGGGUGUGUAAGCGCAGCGAUGCGUUGAGCUAACCGGUACUAAUGAACCGUGAGGCUUAACCUU
RNAcentral lists this ribosomal RNA (2900 nucleotides) under Klebsiella pneumoniae. RNAcentral's name for it is "23S ribosomal RNA". It matches the Rfam family "Bacterial large subunit ribosomal RNA". Lineage: Bacteria; Pseudomonadati; Pseudomonadota; Gammaproteobacteria; Enterobacterales; Enterobacteriaceae. The record is from RNAcentral.